GUGCUUAACACAUGCAAGUCGAACGGAAAGGCCCUUCGGGGUACUCGAGUGGCGAACGGGUGAGUAACACGUGGGUGAUCUGCCCUGCACUUUGGGAUAAGCCUGGGAAACUGGGUCUAAUACCGAAUACACCCUUUUGGUCGCAUGGCCGUUAGGGGAAAGCUUUUGCGGUGUGGGAUGGGCCCGCGGCCUAUCAGCUUGUUGGUGGGGUGAUGGCCUACCAAGGCGACGACGGGUAGCCGGCCUGAGAGGGUGACCGGCCACACUGGGACUGAGAUACGGCCCAGACUCCUACGGGAGGCAGCAGUGGGGAAUAUUGCACAAUGGGCGCAAGCCUGAUGCAGCGACGCCGCGUGAGGGAUGACGGCCUUCGGGUUGUAAACCUCUUUCGCUCACGACGAAGGGUGACUGACGGUAGUGAGAGAAGAAGGACCGGCCAACUACGUGCCAGCAGCCGCGGUAAUACGUAGGGUCCGAGCGUUGUCCGGAAUUACUGGGCGUAAAGAGCUCGUAGGUGGUUUGUCGCGUCGUCCGUGAAAUC
RNAcentral lists this ribosomal RNA (541 nucleotides) under Mycolicibacterium agri. RNAcentral's name for it is "bacterial SSU rRNA". It matches the Rfam family "Bacterial small subunit ribosomal RNA", at positions 44 to 601 of the family's 1533-position model. Lineage: Bacteria; Bacillati; Actinomycetota; Actinomycetes; Mycobacteriales; Mycobacteriaceae. The record is from RNAcentral.